This 453-nucleotide microRNA precursor is filed under the name Gossypium raimondii (Peruvian cotton). RNAcentral describes it as "miR8781a stem-loop (gra-MIR8781a)". Lineage: Eukaryota; Viridiplantae; Streptophyta; Magnoliopsida; Malvales; Malvaceae. The record is from miRBase by way of RNAcentral.
CUAUUAAUUUGAUCUUAGUUUUAAAUAAUUUAAUAAAUUUAACCCUUUACAUAUAUAAAUUCUAUCAAUUUGAACGUCAUAUUUUUUAACCAAAAUUUUCAGCUUUUAAAAUAGAGGCAUUCCACAUCUAUUAAUUGUUUUAUUUAUGCUGGUCAAAGUGAUUUUUUUUAUUACAAAUAUUAAAAUAUUUAUAUAAUUUUAUUGUGUAUGUUAUAUCUUUUUAAAAUUUGUAUUUUCUAUUAUUUUUAGUGGUGUUUAGUUAAUUUCUAACACUAAUUCCUUAAAAAUAUAAAUAAAAAGGGUCAUGUACCAAAUUGAAAAUAAUUUCAACCAUAAAUAAAACAAUUAAAAGCUGAAAGCUUUGGUUAGGAAAUUUGAGGAUUAAAUUGAUAUAAUUUAUAAAUGUGAAGGGUUAAAUUUAUUGAAUUAUUUAGAACUAGGAUCAAAUUGAUA